RNAcentral lists this long non-coding RNA (1206 nucleotides) under Theobroma cacao (cacao). RNAcentral describes it as "long non-coding RNA (TCAC_LNC002507)". Lineage: Eukaryota; Viridiplantae; Streptophyta; Magnoliopsida; Malvales; Malvaceae. The record is from RNAcentral.
CGCGUUGGAGUACAAACUUUAUACUUCACUUGUACAUGUGUAGAAGAAGAUAAUAGAAGGAAAUUGGAGUUAAAUGAGUGUUGGGAGGACUAAAUUAAAAAAGGAAAAAACUUGGAGGGCAAAACGGUAAUUUUACACAAAGUUUGGUCAAAGCUUCCAACGGAAGCUUUGACUCUCAUCUUUAUUAGCCCAAAACCAUCCUUGUCUCCUCUAGCAAGAUAUUUCUUCUCCUUCUUGAAGCUUCCAACGCCAUUUUCAUGUCAAGUUCAUGAGAAUGAAAUUUUUUUCAUGUAAUGUUCCUUGUUUUUUCUCAUUUCCUUUCUCUUCUUGCUUCUUUCUUCUCCCAACUUCUUAUGCACCAAAGUUACAACUUUUAACCCUAAUUUCUAGCACCUACAAACCCUAGAGGUCAACUGGAAUCCUCAACAAAAUCAAAUAUCUACAAGCUACCACGGGCCUGAAAUAUUUGAAAAGGAGGUGGGUGAGAUUUUGCAAUCCCAAUGAGUAAACAGACAUUAUCAUAAAUAUCUAAAGGCGAGUAAAAUGGAGGCAAGUUUAAACAACAAAUUACAAACCAUUUCAUAAGGUUUUCAAUUUAUUUCUUAAACCAUAAAAUAUUUGUAAUUUACCAAAACAAUUGUUAAGGCUUAUGACUUUUAUUAAAAACAGGGCUCAAGCCAAAAACUAAUCCUCGGGGAUACCUUGGUCGAGGCAUCUAACCGAGUCCGCCAAGGUUGUUAAGAUAUUUACAUGUUAAACACAUUCUAGUUUUGAAAACAAGCCGUUCCUUGGCGUUGGUCGAGUUACACAUUCACGUGGGGGUUCGAUGUGAAGUGAGCUCUAACACUACCCCGGGAGCUACGCUCCUCGCCUCCACAACUGGAGUAACUAUGUAACGGGGUUUACCGUAUCCCUCUAAUAAGCAGUUCACGAAAACCCAUCACUACAGUGACUAAACCCACCAAUUUUAAUAAAAUUUUGACAGUAUAAUGUGGCUUUUAUUUAUUUACCCAGCCUGCAUAGUAAAAGACAGCUUACAUAAAUUCCCAAUGCAAUUAUAACAUAUAGCCACAUAUACUCAUAUAUCAUAAGCCAUUCAUAGGAAAAUAUAUAUUUCAAAAUAAUUGGCAGCCUCCAAUUACUCAAUUUCAUAAUCAACACAAUAUAUUUUUAUUUGUCACAUUUAUUUCUAAAACAUCAAAAAUC